AAUUGUUCGCAAUGGGCGCAAGCCUGACGACGCAACGCCGCGUGGAGGAUGAAGAUCUUCGGGUCGUAAACUCCUUUCGAUCGAGACGAACGGCCUCCGGGUUAACAGCCCGGGGGAGUGACGGUACCGAGAGAAGAAGCCCCGGCUAACUCCGUGCCAGCAGCCGCGGUAAUACGUAGGUGGCAAGCGUUGUCCGGAUUUACUGGGCGUAAAGAGCGCGCAGGCGGUCGUUCAAGUCGCGUGUGAAAGCCCCCGGCUCAACUGGGGAGGGUCACGCGAUACUGAUCGACUCGAAGGCAGGAGAGGGUAGUGGAAUUCCCGGUGUAGUGGUGAAAUGCGUAGAUAUCGGGAGGAACACCAGUGGCGAAGGCGGCGAUCUGGGCUGAUACUGACGCUGAGGUGCGAAAGCGUGGGGAGCAAA
Molecule: ribosomal RNA, 421 nt
Filed under: uncultured bacterium
Lineage: Bacteria
Description: bacterial SSU rRNA
Rfam family: Bacterial small subunit ribosomal RNA
Source: RNAcentral